AUAGACUCAUGGUUUGAAGUGAACAGAUCUUGUCCAGAACACCCUGCUGAUUGACCCUGCUGGGCCUGCUUACAGACUCCUCUCAAAGGUUUAUUUUAUUUAUUCCAAGUAAAUGCCCAGAACAGCUGACGGUGUCAGGCAAAUCAGGGACAUUGGCUCUUUUUACCCUCACCUCAAAAUCUGAUGACAAGCAAGGGAGAGUGAGGCAGAGGGAUUGGAUCCCAGCUCCAGAGUGCGGGUCCAAAAUACCGGCGUGAUGUUUGGCUUCCGAUGGGCCUGCCUGGACUGAACCAGAUGCCCCAGCCUACCAGCCUGCCCUCAGGGAGACACACGCUGUUGCCACCGUGGAGCGGCAACUCUCAGCAAGAUGGAGCAGGACUGACUUCUUCCAACCCACACAGGGACAGCCAGCCCCUGUUCCUGGGAGGAGGCUCCUCGGACACUGGACAGAGCUGAGCUUGGGACACCAGAGAGAACAGGGCACCUUCUGCACUGACUUCCAGAAAAUGGUCCUCCCUGAGGGCACCCAGUGGAUGAGAGCGAGUCUGAGAGAAGAAUGAAUUGACCUCUAUCCUUCCCCUCACCCUCGACCCAGGAGGGAAAGGGCAUUUUCUUUAUCACCUUUGAAAGGCGUUGUGGGUCUGUCUUUAAAAAGUGUUUACAAACAACAAAAAAUUCUAUAAAAAAGUCUCGUGUCGA
Molecule: long non-coding RNA, 699 nt
Organism: Mastomys coucha (southern multimammate mouse)
Lineage: Eukaryota; Metazoa; Chordata; Mammalia; Rodentia; Muridae
Exons: 2
Source: RefSeq, a predicted model, not a curated record